RNAcentral lists this non-coding RNA (23 nucleotides) under Rattus norvegicus (Norway rat). The record is from RNAcentral. Lineage: Eukaryota; Metazoa; Chordata; Mammalia; Rodentia; Muridae.
AUACCUGGGUUUGCCUCCUCCGC